This 387-nucleotide ribosomal RNA is filed under the name uncultured bacterium. RNAcentral's name for it is "bacterial SSU rRNA". It matches the Rfam family "Bacterial small subunit ribosomal RNA", at positions 28 to 416 of the family's 1533-position model. The record is from RNAcentral.
GACGAACGCUGGCGGCGUGCUUAACACAUGCAAGUCGAGCGGUAAGGCCCUUUCGGGGGUACACGAGCGGCGAACGGGUGAGUAACACGUGGGUGACCUGCCCUCAGCUCUGGGAUAAGCCUGGGAAACCGGGUCUAAUACUGGAUAUGACUCCAUGACGCAUGUUGUGGGGUGGAAAGCCUUGUGCGGCUGAGGAUGGGCCCGCGGCCUAUCAGCUUGUUGGUGGGGUGANGGCCUACCAAGGCGACGACGGGUAGCCGGCCUGAGAGGGCGACCGGCCACACUGGGACUGAGACACGGCCCAGACUCCUACGGGAGGCAGCAGUGGGGAAUCUUGCGCAAUGGGCGAAAGCCUGACGCAGCGACGCCGCGUGAGGGAUGAAGACC